AAACAAGCAUGGAAUCAAGUCAUGCAGGAUCUUGCGGGCCCUGAUAAAGGGGUUGGGUUUGACUCAAAGAAGAGUUGAAAGUCACUGGAAGAUUUUGACAGACAAGUGAUAUGUUUUGGAAGCUUUUUGGAGAAUGAAUUUUGGUGGUCAGAGUGGAAGCCUGUUGGGCAGCUAUUACAGUUGUCCAGAGAGAGGACAAGGUGGUGAUUAGACCAUGGAGCAUUUCAAACUGAAGACUGCAUGAAAUCUGCUGGGCUGUGAUCCAAUUAAUGGCAAAGCAAUUCAACAUAAUUGACCCCCAAAUAGUUGACUCAGUGACACAUGGAUAGAGCUUUGACAGCUUAGCAGUGAGAUCAGGAAAGGAAAUUAAUAUGUGAUUUAAGUAAAUUCAGGAAUCUGGUAGUUUAAUGGACUUAGACACUUUCAUCCUUUGUUAUUAAAUUGAAUCUGGCCCAGUUAGGAGUUAUUGGAAAAUUGAUUGUAAUAAACUGGCGUCUGUGAUAUGCUUCUUCCUGGAUCACCUGGGGGAAAUGAUUCAACAACAGCACAGGCACACACUCACACACUUAACUUACACAGACCCACCUUGUGUUUCUUCCUAGCAGGGUGGGUGUAAAGUGUGAUAAAUGGUG
This 632-nucleotide long non-coding RNA is filed under the name Homo sapiens (human). RNAcentral describes it as "HSALNT0388579". The record is from RNAcentral. Lineage: Eukaryota; Metazoa; Chordata; Mammalia; Primates; Hominidae.